CCGACACGACCGUACCGCAAACCGACACUGGUGCGCGAGAUGAGUAUUCUAAGGCGCUUGAGAGAACUCAGGAGAAGGAACUCGGCAAAUUGACACCGUAACUUCGGAAGAAGGUGUGCCUUUAGUAGGUGAAGUCCCUCGCGGAUGGAGCCCAAUGAGGUUGCAAAAAAUCGGUGGCUGCGACUGUUUAUUAAAAACACAGCACUCUGCAAACACGAAAGUGGACGUAUAGGGUGUGACGCCUGCCCGGUGCUGGAAGAUUAAAUGAUGGGGUGCAAGCUCUUGAUUGAAGUCCCAGUAAACGGCGGCCGUAACAAUAACGGUCCUAAGGUAGCGAAAUUCCUUGUCGGGUAAGUUCCGACCUGCACGAAUGGCGUAACGGUGGCCACACUGUCUCCUCCUGAGACUCAGCGAAGUUGAAAUGUUUGUGAUGAUGCAAUCUCCCCGCGGAAAGACGGAAAGACCCCAUGAACCUUUACUGUAGCUUUGUAUUGGACUUUGAACAGAUCUGUGUAGGAUAGGUGGGAGGCUUUGAAGCAGGGUCGCUAGAUCUUGUGGAGCCAACGUUGAAAUACCACCCUGGUGUGUUUGAGGUUCUAACCUAGGCCCGUAAUCCGGGUUGGGGACAGUGCAUGGUAGGCAGUUUGACUGGGGCGGUCUCCUCCCAAAGUGUAACGGAGGAGUUCGAAGGUACGCUAGUUACGGUCGGACAUCGUGACGAUAGUGCAAUGGCAUAAGCGUGCUUAACUGCGAGACUGACAAGUCGAGCAGAUGCGAAAGCAGGACAUAGUGAUCCGGUGGUUCUGUAUGGAAGGGCCAUCGCUCAACGGAUAAAAGGUACUCUGGGGAUAACAGGCUGAUACCGCCCAAGAGUUCAUAUCGACGGCGGUGUUUGGCACCUCGAUGUCGGCUCAUCUCAUCCUGGGGCUGUAGCCAGUCCCAAGGGUAUGGCUGUUCGCCAUUUAAAGAGGUACGUGAGCUGGGUUUAAAACGUCGUGAGACAGUUUGGUCCCUAUCUUCCGUGGGCGCUGCAGAUUUGAGGAAGCCUGCUCCUAGUACGAGAGGACCGGAGUGGACGCACCUCUGGUGUAUCGGUUGUCACGCCAGUGGCAUUGCCGAGUAGCUAUGUGCGGAAGAGAUAACCGCUGAAAGCAUCUAAGCGGGAAACUCGUUUCAAGAUGAGAUCUGCCGGGGCCUUGAGCCCCCUGAAGAGUCGUUCAAGACCAGGACGUUGAUAGGUCGGGUGUGGAAGCGCAGUAAUGCGUUAAGCUAACCGAUACUAAUUGCUCGUGCGGCUUGACC
RNAcentral lists this ribosomal RNA (1302 nucleotides) under metagenome. RNAcentral's name for it is "bacterial LSU rRNA". It matches the Rfam family "Bacterial large subunit ribosomal RNA", at positions 1633 to 2925 of the family's 2925-position model. The record is from RNAcentral.